CAAGUAAGCUGGACAGCCGCGGGGCGAGGCCGAAAGGCCCGUUCUGAGGAAAGUCCGGGCUCCGCAGGGCAAGGAUAACGGGUAACACCCGCCGGGGGCGACCCUAGGAAAAGUGCAACAGAGAUAAACCGCCUUGAACCCGCAAAGCCUUUACGGCGUUGUGGGGAGAGGAGGCACAGCGAAAUGAGUGAGCUCUGCCGCUUGCGGCGGGGCGAGCGGUAUGGAGCUUGUGCCGACGAGGUAAGGGUGGAAAGGCGGAGGUAAGAGCCCGCCCGAUGACGUGGAAGCGCUCAUCGCUGUAAACUCUAUCCGGAGCAACGCCGUGGGAGGACGCAUGACCGGCCCGGUCGUCCUCAGGAGGCGGCUUGAGCGUAUCGGCAACGGUGCGUCGAGAUAGAUGGCUGUCUUAAAAGACAGAACCCGGCUUACAGGCUUGCUUGCAAC
RNAcentral lists this RNase P RNA (444 nucleotides) under Pseudoflavonifractor sp. BIOML-A1. RNAcentral describes it as "RNase P RNA component class A". It matches the Rfam family "Bacterial RNase P class A". From Rfam's summary of the family: Ribonuclease P (RNase P) is a ubiquitous endoribonuclease, found in archaea, bacteria and eukarya as well as chloroplasts and mitochondria. Its best characterised activity is the generation of mature 5'-ends of tRNAs by cleaving the 5'-leader elements of precursor-tRNAs. Cellular RNase Ps are ribonucleoproteins. The record is from RNAcentral. RNAcentral also lists the same sequence under 16 other names. Lineage: Bacteria; Bacillati; Bacillota; Clostridia; Eubacteriales; Oscillospiraceae.